This 253-nucleotide ribosomal RNA is filed under the name uncultured bacterium. Its description in RNAcentral is "partial 16S ribosomal RNA". It matches the Rfam family "Bacterial small subunit ribosomal RNA", at positions 524 to 776 of the family's 1533-position model. The record is from RNAcentral.
UACGAAGGGGGCUAGCGUUGCUCGGAAUCACUGGGCGUAAAGCGCACGUAGGCGGAUCUUUAAGUCAGAGGUGAAAUCCCAAGGCUCAACCUUGGAACUGCCUUUGAUACUGGGGAUCUCGAGUCCGGAAGAGGUUGGUGGAACUGCGAGUGUAGAGGUGAAAUUCGUAGAUAUUCGCAAGAACACCAGUGGCGAAGGCGGCCAACUGGUCCGGUACUGACGCUGAGGCGCGAAAGCGUGGGGAGCGAACAGG